GUUGAACAGCACCUAUACUUUUUUGAAAACUGGAACAAUACAGAAAAGAGUAACAUGGCCCCCUUGCAAGAUUAAAAUGCAAAGUUAUUAAAUGUUUCAUAUUUUA
Small nuclear RNA from Dromiciops gliroides (monito del monte), 106 nucleotides. The record is from RefSeq and is a predicted model, not a curated record. Lineage: Eukaryota; Metazoa; Chordata; Mammalia; Microbiotheria; Microbiotheriidae.